RNAcentral lists this ribosomal RNA (482 nucleotides) under uncultured bacterium. Its description in RNAcentral is "partial 16S ribosomal RNA". It matches the Rfam family "Bacterial small subunit ribosomal RNA", at positions 30 to 507 of the family's 1533-position model. The record is from RNAcentral.
AUUGAACGCUGGCGGCAUGCUUUACACAUGCAAGUCGAACGGUAACAGGCCGCAAGGUGCUGACGAGCGGCGAACGGGUGCGUAAUGCAUCGGAACGUACCCAGUCGUGGGGGAUAACUACUCGAAAGAGUAGCUAAUACCGCAUACGAUCUAUGGAUGAAAGCGGGGGACCGUAAGGCCUCGCGCGAUUGGAGCGGCCGAUGUCAGAUUAGGUAGUUGGUGGGGUAAAGGCUCACCAAGCCAACGAUCUGUAGCUGGUCUGAGAGGACAACCAGCCACACUGGGACUGAGACACGGCCCAGACUCCUACGGGAGGCAGUAGUGGGGAAUUUUGGACAAUGGGCGCAAGCCUGAUCCAGCAAUGCCGCGUGCAGGAAGAAGGCCUUCGGGUUGUAAACUGCUUUUGUACGGAACGAAACGGCUCUGGUUAAUACCCGGGGCUAAUGACGGUACCGGAAGAAUAAGCACCGGCUAACUACGUG